Non-coding RNA from Thamnophis sirtalis, 523 nucleotides. Lineage: Eukaryota; Metazoa; Chordata; Lepidosauria; Squamata; Natricidae. The record is from RefSeq and is a predicted model, not a curated record.
CUCUUACCCAACCGCGGGGAAGCUGCUUCGUAGCUCGAGUUUUGGCUCUUCACUGGUUUCCACGGAGGCGCCGCGCCGUGGGAAUCCGGCCACCUCUUUUCCCGGGUCGCGCGUAAAAGAAAUGGGCUGUUAAAAAAAAGCACCCCCCUUUCUUCUAAUUCUACCCCAAACCUGCGGGGGGAGGAGGAGAAGGGCCAGGGGAAACUACAGAAGGAAGAAGAAAGGUCUGUUGGAAGGACAGAGCGACGUCCAUGCAAGACAGAUGGACGCAAGACUUGGAUAGAACUCGUGAUUUCUAUAUUUGGUGCUUUUACGAGAGGCGGGCGCGGUUCUCCAAACGGCUCCGUGGAGAGGAGGGGGCUGUCAUUAAUCUAAUGAGAGGCUGGGGAGGGUUGGAUAUACACUCCCCUCCUCUAAACCCCCCCCCCAAAUAACCCCCACGGGAGAGUCUCCAAGUUUGCGGGAAUGAAACGCUGGGAGAAAAAAAAUAUAUCAGGAUUUGGCUAGCGCCUUUUCCGACGAA